RNAcentral lists this ribosomal RNA (440 nucleotides) under uncultured bacterium. Its description in RNAcentral is "partial 16S ribosomal RNA". It matches the Rfam family "Bacterial small subunit ribosomal RNA", at positions 338 to 795 of the family's 1533-position model. The record is from RNAcentral.
CCUACGGGAGGCAACAGUAGGGAAUAUUGCACAAUGGGGGAAACCCUGAAGCAGCAACGCCGCGUGGAGGAUGGAGGUUUUCGGAUUGUAAACUCCUUUUGUUAGAGAAGAUAAUGACGGUAUCUAACGAAUAAGCACCGGCUAACUCCGUGCCAGCAGCCGCGGUAAUACGGAGGGGGCAAGCGUUACUCGGAAUCACUGGGCGUAAAGAGCGCGGAGGCGGGAUAGCAAGUCAGAUGUGAAAUCCUAGGGCUGAACCAUAGAACUGCAUUUGAAACUGUUAUUCUAGAGUAUGGGAGAGGUAGGUGGAAUUCUUGGUGUAGGGGUAAAAUCCGUAGAGAUCAAGAGGAAUACUCAUUGCGAAGGCGACCUGCUAGAACAUAACUGACGCUGAUGCGCGAAAGCGUGGGGAGCAAACAGGAUUAGAUACCCCGGUAGUC